Molecule: ribosomal RNA, 484 nt
Filed under: uncultured bacterium
Lineage: Bacteria
Description: partial 16S ribosomal RNA
Rfam family: Bacterial small subunit ribosomal RNA
Source: RNAcentral
AUUGAACGCUGGCGGCAGGCCUAACACAUGCAAGUCGAGCGGAUGAAGGGAGCUUGCUCCUGGAUUCAGCGGCGGACGGGUGAGUAAUGCCUAGGAAUCUGCCUGGUAGUGGGGGAUAACGUCCGGAAACGGGCGCUAAUACCGCAUACGUCCUGAGGGAGAAAGUGGGGGAUCUUCGGACCUCACGCUAUCAGAUGAGCCUAGGUCGGAUUAGCUAGUUGGUGGGGUAAAGGCCUACCAAGGCGACGAUCCGUAACUGGUCUGAGAGGAUGAUCAGUCACACUGGAACUGAGACAGGGUCCAGACUCCUACGGGAGGCAGCAGUGGGGAAUAUUGGACAAUGGGCGAAAGCCUGAUCCAGCCAUGCCGCGUGUGUGAAGAAGGUCUUCGGAUUGUAAAGCACUUUAAGUUGGGAGGAAGGGCAGUAAGUUAAUACCGUGCUGUUUUGACGUUACCAACAGAAUAAGCACCGGCUAACUUCGUG